AGAGUUUGAUCAUGGCUCAGAUUGAACGCUGGCGGCAGGCCUUACACAUGCAAGUCGAGCGGAAACGAUGAUAGCUUGCUAUCAGGCGUCGAGCGGCGGACGGGUGAGUAACGCGUGGGAAUCUGCCCGGUAGUGGGGGACAACAGUUGGAAACGACUGCUAAUACCGCAUACGCCCUACGGGGGAAAGGAGGGGAUCUUCGGACCUUUCGCUAUUGGAUGAGCCCGCGUGAGAUUAGGUAGUUGGUGGGGUAAUGGCCUACCAAGCCUGCGAUCUCUAGCUGGUCUGAGAGGAUGAUCAGCCACACUGGAACUGAGACACGGUCCAGACUCCUACGGGAGGCAGCAGUGGGGAAUAUUGCACAAUGGGCGAAAGCCUGAUGCAGCCAUGCCGCGUGUGUGAAGAAGGCCUUAGGGUUGUAAAGCACUUUCAGUUGUGAGGAAAGGUUGUAGAUUAAUACUCUGCAGCUGUG
Molecule: ribosomal RNA, 472 nt
Filed under: uncultured bacterium
Lineage: Bacteria
Description: bacterial SSU rRNA
Rfam family: Bacterial small subunit ribosomal RNA
Source: RNAcentral